UGAAGCAGAAUUCACCAAG
Molecule: non-coding RNA, 19 nt
Filed under: Arabidopsis thaliana (thale cress)
Lineage: Eukaryota; Viridiplantae; Streptophyta; Magnoliopsida; Brassicales; Brassicaceae
Also listed under: 2 other names
Source: RNAcentral